RNAcentral lists this unclassified non-coding RNA (131 nucleotides) under uncultured Xylariales. RNAcentral describes it as "sequence contains ITS1". Lineage: Eukaryota; Fungi; Ascomycota; Sordariomycetes; Xylariales. The record is from RNAcentral.
UAGAGUUAUAAAAAAACUCCCAACCCAUGUGAACAUUACCUUUGUUGCCUCGGCGGAGAUCAAAAUCCGCCGGUGGUCCACUAAACUCUUGUUUUAUUAUAAGCAUCUGAGUGUUUUACUAUAAUAAGUUA